CCUCGAUGUCGGCUCAUCGCAUCCUGGGGCUGUAGUCGGUCCCAAGGGUUGGGCUGUUCGCCCAUUAAAGCGGUACGCGAGCUGGGUUCAGAACGUCGUGAGACAGUUCGGUCCCUAUCCGUCGUGGGCGUAGGAAAUUUGAGAGGAGCUGUCCUUAGUACGAGAGGACCGGGAUGGACAUACCUCUGGUGUACCAGUUGUCGUGCCAACGGCAUAGCUGGGGAGCUAUGUGUGGACGGGAUAAGUGCUGAAAGCAUCUAAGCAUGAAGCCCCCCUCAAGAUGAGAUUUCCCAACUUCGGUUAUAAGAUCCCUCAAAGAUGAUGAGGUUAAUAGGUUCGAGGUGGAAGCAUGGUGACAUGUGGAGCUGACGAAUACUAAUCGAUCGAAGACUUAAUCAAAA
Molecule: ribosomal RNA, 401 nt
Filed under: Streptomyces malaysiensis subsp. malaysiensis
Lineage: Bacteria; Bacillati; Actinomycetota; Actinomycetes; Kitasatosporales; Streptomycetaceae
Description: partial 23S ribosomal RNA
Rfam family: Bacterial large subunit ribosomal RNA
Source: RNAcentral